Magnolia sinica is the source of this 362-nucleotide long non-coding RNA. RefSeq lists it as uncharacterized. The transcript is spliced from 4 exons. The record is from RefSeq and is a predicted model, not a curated record. NCBI's taxonomy places the organism in Eukaryota, Viridiplantae, Streptophyta, Magnoliopsida, Magnoliales, Magnoliaceae.
UUUCAACUAUAGUGUGGAUGGUCUUGUUUCGAUAAGUACUGUUAACCUAAAGCUACGGAAGCAGAAGCUACAUGCUUUCUUGUAAGGAAGAAGAAGAAGAUGAGUGCGGAUCCAAUCCCUUCUUCGAACUCCCAUAGCCAGCUCGAUGGGUAGAUUUCUCAGCUCAUGCAGCGCAAGCCCCUCUCUGAGCAAGAAGUAGAGACGGCAGAGACUGUAACGUGCAUGAAUGAACUAGUUCUUAUGAAGAUUCCAUCAAAGAGCCAUCUUUAUGUACCAGUUUCUGCAUAUCUCGACCUAAGUAUUUCAGAGGCACCGGCCUGGAUAAUUCAGCAAGUUCAUUGACAGUACUUAGAGCUGUCAAG